This 345-nucleotide unclassified non-coding RNA is filed under the name soil metagenome. RNAcentral's name for it is "partial contains 5.8S ribosomal RNA, internal transcribed spacer 2, and large subunit ribosomal RNA". The stretch from base 1 to 120 matches the Rfam family "5.8S ribosomal RNA", at positions 35 to 154 of the family's 154-position model. The record is from RNAcentral.
GAUGAAGAACGUAGUGAAAUGCGAUACGUAAUGUGAAUUGCAGAAUUCAGUGAAUCAUCGAGUCUUUGAACGCACAUUGCGCCCCCUGGUAUUCCGGAGGGCAUGCCUGUCCGAGCGUCAUUGCUGCCCUCCAGCCCGGCUGGUGUGUUGGGCCCCGUCCCCCUUCCCGGGGGGACGGGCCCGAAAGGCAGCGGCGGCACCGCGUCCGGUCCUCGAGCGUAUGGGGCUUUGUCACCCGCUCUUGUAGGCCCGGCCGGCGCCAGCCGACCCCCUCAAUCUAUUUUUCAGGUUGACCUCGGAUCAGGUAGGGAUACCCGCUGAACUUAAGCAUAUCAAUAGCGAGGA